GUAGACAUUUGUAACACUGGACAGAGCUGCAAUAGAUUAUCAUGCUGCCUCUUCAGCUGGAAAAAGCUAAACUGAAGAGUUAAUGGUGUUGAAGCAUUUUCUAUCCUUUUGUUGUUGUAAAGAGAAUUAUUGCCAGAGAAAUGGGAUUGUAGAAGUGGCUCACAUUAAAUGCCACAGAAGUUGUUCUAUACAGUUGAAGUCCGGUCAGCCAUUCGUUCGUCAUUGGAAGGACAGGAACAAAAAUCAGCCCAAGUCACC
This 258-nucleotide unclassified non-coding RNA is filed under the name Hevea brasiliensis (rubber tree). Lineage: Eukaryota; Viridiplantae; Streptophyta; Magnoliopsida; Malpighiales; Euphorbiaceae. The record is from RNAcentral.